This 497-nucleotide ribosomal RNA is filed under the name uncultured bacterium. RNAcentral describes it as "partial 16S ribosomal RNA". It matches the Rfam family "Bacterial small subunit ribosomal RNA", at positions 28 to 507 of the family's 1533-position model. The record is from RNAcentral.
GAUGAACGCUGGCGGCGUGCCUAAUACAUGCAAGUCGAGCGAACAGACGAGGAGCUUGCUCCUCUGACGUUAGCGGCGGACGUGUGAGUAACACGUGGAUAACCUACCUAUAAGACUGGGAUAACUUCGGGAAACCGGCUCUAAUACCGGAUAAUAUAUUGAACCGCAUGGUUCAAUAGUGAAAGACGGUUUUGCUGUCUCUUAUAGAUGGAUCCGCGCCGCAUUAGCUAGUUGGUAAGGUAACGGCUUACCAAGGCAACGAUGCGUAGCCGACCUGAGAGGGGGGUCGGCCACACUGGAGCGGGAACACGGUCAAGACUCCUACGGUAGGCAGCAGUAGGGAAUCUUCCGCAAUGGGCGGAAGCUUGGCGGAGCGACGCGGCGUGAGAGAUGAAGGUGUUCGGAUCGUGAAACUCGGUUAUUAGGGAAGAACAAAUGUGUAAGUAACUGUGCACGUAUUGACGGUACCUAAUCAGAAAGCCACGGCUAACUACGUG